AUUGAACGCUGGCGGCAUGCCUUACACAUGCAAGUCGAACGGCAGCACGGGUGCUUGCACCUGGUGGCGAGUGGCGAACGGGUGAGUAAUACAUCGGAACAUGUCCUGUAGUGGGGGAUAGCCCGGCGAAAGCCGGAUUAAUACCGCAUACGAUCUACGGAUGACAGCGGGGGACCUUCGGGCCUCGCGCUAUAGGGUUGGCCGAUGGCUGAUUAGCUAGUUGGUGGGGUAAAGGCCUACCAAGGCGACGAUCAGUAGCUGGUCUGAGAGGACGACCAGCCACACUGGGACUGAGACACGGCCCAGACUCCUACGGGAGGCAGCAGUGGGGAAUUUUGGACAAAGGGCGAAAGCCUGAUCCAGCAAUGCCGCGUGUGUGAAGAAGGCCUUCGGGUUGUAAAGCACUUUUGUCCGGAAAGAAAUCCUUGGCUCUAAUACAGUCGGGGGAUGACGGUACCGGAAGAAUAAGCACCGGCUAACUACGUG
This 486-nucleotide ribosomal RNA is filed under the name uncultured bacterium. Its description in RNAcentral is "partial 16S ribosomal RNA". It matches the Rfam family "Bacterial small subunit ribosomal RNA", at positions 30 to 507 of the family's 1533-position model. The record is from RNAcentral.